GUAAACUCUUCGAAAGGGCUGAUAAUAGCAGGCCUAGGGGAAAUGGUUUUAAGUUGAGGAGGGAGAUUUAGGUUGGAUGUUAGGGGUAAGUUCUUUACUAGAAGGGUGGUUAGGUUCCUGGAACAGGCUGCCCAGUGAGGUUGUGGAUGCCCCGUCCUUGGAGGUGUUUCAAGACCAGGUUGGACGGGGCCCUGGCAACUGAUCUAGUAGGUGUAAUGUUUGGUGGCCGCUGCUAGGCAGGGGGGUUGGAACUACAUGAUCCUUGAGGUCCCUUCCAACCCGGGUAAUUCUGUGAUUCUGUGAUUCUGUGAUUGCCUCCCUGCUGUGUGAUUUCUCUGUUUUAGUUUCAGUACUGCUUCCUGACUACCUUGAUGCAAAAGUUUUAGGGUUCACCGGUUCUGCAUCUAAACCUGCUUCUGCCCGUAUCUAAUCAAGCCAGCAAGAGAGAACCAGGGAGGGAGAUCCCAUGACUUCCCCCUGUCUUAUCUUCUUCUCUGAGUGUGAAGUCCCCUGGGAUAUGCAGUUGUUCUUCCCUUCUGAGAACCAGGUAUCUGGAAAGUUGUCAGUCCAUGGAACUGGAGUAUUAAAUCUUUAAUUACCUGUGCUUUAUGUGAUGUUAUGAUGUGGAAUGUUGAUAUCAAAAUUAUAAAACCAUGACACAGUUUAGUAUGGAGGAUUAAUGAAGCAUAUAUACAACCACUUCCAUAUAAUUUUAUAUAUUCUCCUAAGUGGUAUACUGGCAUUAUAUCGUAGCAUAUAUAUAUAUAUAUAUAUAUUUUUCAAAGCUUUUACACUAUUGUAACAUAACUCACAUAUGCUUCCAUGUUUUCCUCCUGCUAUACUCAGUUCACUUACAUUUGCAAGAAGGUAUGUAUCACACUAAUACAUGUGUGAGCACUGGCAUGAUGGUUAGCGACAAAGCACAAUGGAAACAAAGGACCCCUCAUUGUGCCUAUUUUUUAAUUCAUUACUUAUUUGAAUUAAUUUUAUGGCAACAAUGAUGUUUUUUUUUUCCUUUGCAUUAUAUCAAAGCGCUACAGAAAAAUCUGUGCAUUACUGUGGGGAGGAAAAAAAAAAAUCCCAAUCCCGCCCAACAAUCAAAGACUGUUGUGGCCAUGAUUUUUUGAAACUAUGCAUUUUAAUGAAGCAAUCGUUAUCAAUAAAGAAAGGGACUGCAAUUUUCAAGGAGCGUUUGGACAUCUCAGCCUGUGUUUCGUUUGGAAUUUCUGAAGACUUUCCAUUGACGGAACAUUUACUUUCGAGGAUUGUCUACCAUAUAGCUUGGACAAUUCUUCUAAUAGAGGGCUCCAGGGAACCAUCUUUGGGCUUUAUCUCACUUACUCAGCUUCUACUCAAGACUACUGUGCAUCCUAAGCUUUCCCACAGGAUCUACAUUCUUCGCCUGCAAAACAUGUGCUUUUGCUUCUGCACCAAAAUCAAUCACAGAUCUGGGGCCCCUGAGAGGUGGAGAAGUGUCAAAGCACUGGAAUCUCCACCUAGGAUGGUGCUGCAUCUUCAAGUGGAGGGAUUUCCUAAGAGAUCAUAUUAGCCAGGCUGCAUCCAGACUGAAAAGCACUCAGCAACAAUGAGGAUGUCAGCAUCACCCAUUCCUGGGCAUGAAGAAAGGAACUGGCCAACAGUGCUUCUUCCUGAUGCCCCCUAGGUAUGAAUCCCAGAGAAGUGGAUGAGGAGGUGUGGAAAGAAGAUGGGCCCACAGAGAUACCGAGCAACAUCAAUGCGGGUGGUGCACAGCAUGUGCAUUUUACUUACAUGCUGUGGUGCACUGGAGGCAUUGUGUCUCUCUAAGGUAUAAUCCCUUCCAGAGUUCCUCUCAGAGUGGUACAAAUCCACAUCACCCUUUAAUUAACACUGUGCCUAGGAGGCACAACUGAGCCUUGAGUAUAGCCACAGGCUUUACAUGUACCUUAACUUGCAAAUUGCAGAUAAAAGUAGUUAAUUUAAGCAUAAACUGCUUUUUUUUUUUUUUUUUUAAAGACCCCGAUUUACACAUUGAAGGGAAAGUAAUUAUGUUUAACAGAUGCUGUUAAAGAAUAUUUGAUAAUAAUUAAUAAUUCAGAUGGAAAACAAAAUCAAAAAGAAAUUCAUGUCAGUUUAGAACUGAGGUCAAAACCUUAACCUCUGCAAGGAAGUUUUAUCUAUUCUAUUCUCUGGUAUGCUAUACUAUGCUAUUCCAUUCCAUAUUCCAUUAUUUAUACUCCAUGUAUCAUUGUAACAUUGGAGCAUCUUUCCAGCACACUGCAUUAAGCAAUAUGAAUACAUUCCAUCAAUUGGUUGUUUCCAACAACUCAACACCCAGCAGUAGUGCAGAGCAUUCUCCACAAUAGUCUAACCACUGGAUUUAAUUUUUUAAUCCAGACUUCAUCACAUUUUUUUUUCUUCUAUACUAAAGAAGCAAACCCUAAGCAAAUCUAAUCCUGACAUACCUCUACCCCUCCCUUCACCACCAACACGCCAGAGAAAUGGGCUUCUAUUUAUAAGUGGCAUUACACCCUCCUAGCCCUUUUUCUUGAUUUUUUUUCUACAGAGCACAGA
Molecule: long non-coding RNA, 2553 nt
Organism: Coturnix japonica (Japanese quail)
Lineage: Eukaryota; Metazoa; Chordata; Aves; Galliformes; Phasianidae
Source: Ensembl